RNAcentral lists this ribosomal RNA (119 nucleotides) under Bemisia tabaci. Lineage: Eukaryota; Metazoa; Arthropoda; Insecta; Hemiptera; Aleyrodidae. The record is from RNAcentral.
GUCAACGGCCAUACCACGUUGAAAGCACCGGUUCUCGUCCGAUCACCGAAGUUAACCAACGUCGGGCGGAGUUAGUACAUAGAUGGGCGACCGCUUGGGAACACUACGUGCUGUUGACU